RNAcentral lists this ribosomal RNA (468 nucleotides) under uncultured bacterium. RNAcentral's name for it is "partial 16S ribosomal RNA". It matches the Rfam family "Bacterial small subunit ribosomal RNA", at positions 28 to 507 of the family's 1533-position model. The record is from RNAcentral.
GACGAACGCUGGCGGCGUGCUUAACACAUGCAAGUCGAACGGAAAGGCCCUGCUUUUGUGGGGUGCUCGAGUGGCGAACGGGUGCGUAACACGUGAGUAACCUGCCCUUGACUUUGGGAUAACUUCAGGAAACUGGGGCUAAUACCGGAUAGGAGCUCCUGCUGCAUGGUGGGGGUUGGAAAGUUUCGGCGGUUGGGGAUGGACUCGCGGCUUAUCAGCUUGUUGGUGGGGUAGUGGCUUACCAAGGCUUUGACGGGUAGCCGGCCUGAGCGGGUGACCGGCCACAUUGGGACUGAGAUACGGCCCAGACUCCUACGGGAGGCAGCAGUGGGGAAUAUUGCACAAUGGGCGGAAGCCUGAUGCAGCAACGCCGCGUGCGGGAUGACGGCCUUCGGGUUGUAAACCGCUUUCGCCUGUGACGAAGCGUGAGUGACGGUAAUGGGUAAAGAAGCACCGGCUAACUACGUG